GACGAACGCUGGCGGCGUGCCUAAUACAUGCAAGUCGAACGCUGAAGGAGGAGCUUGCUUCUCUGGAUGAGUUGCGAACGGGUGAGUAACGCGUAGGUAACCUGCCUGGUAGCGGGGGAUAACUAUUGGAAACGAUAGCUAAUACCGCAUAAGAGUAGAUGUUGCAUGACAUUUGCUUAAAAGGUGCAAUUGCAUCACUACCAGAUGGACCUGCGUUGUAUUAGCUAGUUGGUGGGGUAACGGCUUACCAAGGCGACGAUACAUAGCCGACCUGAGAGGGUGAUCGGCCACACUGGGACUGAGACACGGCCCAGACUCCUACGGGAGGCAGCAGUAGGGAAUCUUCGGCAAUGGAUGGAAGUCUGACCGAGCAACGCCGCGUGAGUGAAGAAGGUUUUCGGAUCGUAAAGCUCUGUUGUAAGAGAAGAACGAGUGUGAGAGUGGAAAGUUCACACUGUGACGGUAUCUUACCAGAAAGAGACGGCUAACUACGUG
This 495-nucleotide ribosomal RNA is filed under the name uncultured bacterium. Its description in RNAcentral is "partial 16S ribosomal RNA". It matches the Rfam family "Bacterial small subunit ribosomal RNA", at positions 28 to 507 of the family's 1533-position model. The record is from RNAcentral.